This 253-nucleotide ribosomal RNA is filed under the name uncultured bacterium. RNAcentral describes it as "partial 16S ribosomal RNA". It matches the Rfam family "Bacterial small subunit ribosomal RNA", at positions 524 to 776 of the family's 1533-position model. The record is from RNAcentral.
UACGUAGGGUGCGAGCGUUGUCCGGAAUUAUUGGGCGUAAAGAGCUCGUAGGCGGUCUGUCGCGUCGAAUGUGAAAACCCGGGGCUCAACCCCGGGCCUGCAUUCGAUACGGGCAGACUAGAGUUCGGUAGGGGAGUCUGGAAUUCCUGGUGUAGCGGUGAAAUGCGCAGAUAUCAGGAGGAACACCGGUGGCGAAGGCGGGACUCUGGGCCGAUACUGACGCUGAGGAGCGAAAGCGUGGGGAGCGAACAGG